RNAcentral lists this ribosomal RNA (253 nucleotides) under uncultured bacterium. RNAcentral describes it as "partial 16S ribosomal RNA". It matches the Rfam family "Bacterial small subunit ribosomal RNA", at positions 524 to 776 of the family's 1533-position model. The record is from RNAcentral.
UACGGAGGGUGCAAGCGUUAUCCGGAUUCACUGGGUUUAAAGGGUGCGUAGGAGGGCAGGUAAGUCAGUGGUGAAAUCCCCGAGCUUAACUUGGGAACUGCCGUUGAUACUAUCUGUCUUGAAUAUUGUGGAGGUGAGCGGAAUAUGUCAUGUAGCGGUGAAAUGCUUAGAUAUGACAUAGAACACCAAUUGCGAAGGCAGCUCGCUACACAAAUAUUGACUCUGAGGCACGAAAGCGUGGGGAGCAAACAGG